CACUGUCACGCUUAAAUAUAUUCCCACUAUUUCCCAGUAUGAAUAAUCACUAGUUAAUCACCAGUCACGAAUAAUCACCAGUUAGUUAGGAUGAAAAGUUGGUUAUCUAGGCAGCUAAGGAAUCGAUUCCCCACCAGUAUCCGGCGUAUACUUUAUUUGUAUUGCGACGAUCCAACUGCCAGGUGGAUGGUCGCCGUUCAGAUGAAGCAAAUACCGAAGCAUUUCAUUGCAUUUUAACAUUUCAUCCCAUUACGCUGCGCAUCGAUGCACAACUGUGCGUACCCCAGGAAAAUCGGGCCACCGGAGAUAGCGUGGACGUGACCGCGUAUAUAUGCACGGUGAAAGGCUGAAGGCCUCUGCCUGCGGCUAGAAAGGCUAACGAAUCAAUCCCCCACAAUUAUCCGGCGUGUAUUUCAUCCGAAAGGAAACUACCCAAGUGCCAUGUGGCUGGUAUCCGUUCAGAUGAAGCAUAUUGCGGGUCAUUUAUCCUCGUAGAAGCCGUACGUCCGUCCCCUAAAGCCGAGGAUCGGAUCGAGUCGCACUGACUGCCUUCCAAGAUCGAUAGCUAGAGUAUAC
Paramacrobiotus metropolitanus is the source of this 576-nucleotide long non-coding RNA. RefSeq lists it as uncharacterized. The transcript has 3 exons. The record is from RefSeq and is a predicted model, not a curated record. Lineage: Eukaryota; Metazoa; Tardigrada; Eutardigrada; Parachela; Macrobiotidae.